RNAcentral lists this transfer RNA (73 nucleotides) under Ailuropoda melanoleuca (giant panda). It matches the Rfam family "tRNA". From Rfam's summary of the family: Transfer RNA (tRNA) molecules are approximately 80 nucleotides in length. Their secondary structure includes four short double-helical elements and three loops (D, anti-codon, and T loops). Lineage: Eukaryota; Metazoa; Chordata; Mammalia; Carnivora; Ursidae. The record is from Rfam by way of RNAcentral.
GCCUGGCUGGCUCAGUUGGAAGAGUAUGUGACUCUUAAUCUCAGGUUCAUGAGUUUGAGCCCCACGUUGGGUG